UACGAGAGGUGCAAGCGUUGUUCGGAAUUACUGGGCGUAAAGCGUACGUAGGCGGAUUGGAAAGUCAGAGGUGAAAUCCCAGGGCUCAACCUUGGAACUGCCUUUGAAACUCCUGGUUUUGAGGUCGUGAGAGGUGAGUGGAAUUUUGAGUGUAGAGGUGAAAUUUGUAGAUAUUUGGAGGAACACUAGUGGCGAAGGCGGCUCACUGGUAUGAUACUGACGUUGAGGUGCGAAAGCGUGGGGAGUAAACAGG
Molecule: ribosomal RNA, 253 nt
Filed under: uncultured bacterium
Lineage: Bacteria
Description: partial 16S ribosomal RNA
Rfam family: Bacterial small subunit ribosomal RNA
Source: RNAcentral